CCAGACAGCCAGGAUGUUGGCUUAGAAGCAGCCAUCAUUUAAAGAAAGCGUAAUAGCUCACUGGUCGAGUCGGCCUGCGCGGAAGAUGUAACGGGGCUAAACCAUGCACCGAAGCUGCGGCAGCGACACUCAGGUGUUGUUGGGUAGGGGAGCGUUCUGUAAGCCUGUGAAGGUGGCCUGUGAGGGUUGCUGGAGGUAUCAGAAGUGCGAAUGCUGACAUAAGUAACGAUAAAGCGGGUGAAAAGCCCGCUCGCCGGAAGACCAA
Molecule: ribosomal RNA, 265 nt
Filed under: Salmonella enterica subsp. enterica serovar Thompson
Lineage: Bacteria; Pseudomonadati; Pseudomonadota; Gammaproteobacteria; Enterobacterales; Enterobacteriaceae
Also listed under: 5 other names
Description: partial 23S ribosomal RNA
Rfam family: Bacterial large subunit ribosomal RNA
Source: RNAcentral